Molecule: ribosomal RNA, 652 nt
Filed under: uncultured bacterium
Lineage: Bacteria
Description: bacterial SSU rRNA
Rfam family: Bacterial small subunit ribosomal RNA
Source: RNAcentral
AGUCGAGCGGCAGCGCGGGGGCAACCCUGGCGGCGAGCGGCGAACGGGUGAGUAAUACAUCGGAACGUACCCCGUAGUGGGGGAUAACUCAGCGAAAGCUGUGCUAAUACCGCAUAUGCUCUACGGAGGAAAGUGGGGGACCCGCAAGGGCCUCAUGCUAUGGGAGCGGCCGAUGUCCGAUUAGCUUGUUGGUGAGGUAAAGGCUUACCAAGGCGACGAUCGGUAGCUGGUCUGAGAGGAUGAUCAGCCACACUGGGACUGAGACACGGCCCAGACUCCUACGGGAGGCAGCAGUGGGGAAUUUUGGACAAUGGGGGCAACCCUGAUCCAGCCAUGCCGCGUGCGGGAAGAAGGCCUUCGGGUUGUAAACCGCUUUUGUCCGGGAAGAAAAGGCACCACCUAAUACGGGGUGUUCUUGACGGUACUGGAAGAAUAAGCACCGGCUAACUACGUGCCAGCAGCCGCGGUAAUACGUAGGGUGCGAGCGUUAAUCGGAAUUACUGGGCGUAAAGCGUGCGCAGGUGGUUCGUCAAGUCUGAUGUGAAAGCCCCGGGCUCAACCUGGGAAUGGCAUUGGAAACUAGCGGGCUGGAGUGUGGCAGAGGGGGGUGGAAUUCCACGUGUAGCAGUGAAAUGCGUAGAGAUGUGGAGGA